This 1012-nucleotide ribosomal RNA is filed under the name uncultured Arthrobacter sp. Its description in RNAcentral is "bacterial SSU rRNA". It matches the Rfam family "Bacterial small subunit ribosomal RNA", at positions 372 to 1394 of the family's 1533-position model. Lineage: Bacteria; Bacillati; Actinomycetota; Actinomycetes; Micrococcales; Micrococcaceae. The record is from RNAcentral.
UGGGCGCAAGCCUGAUGCAGCGACGCCGCGUGAGGGAUGACGGCCUUCGGGUUGUAAACCUCUUUCAGUAGGGAAGAAGCGAAAGUGACGGUACCUGCAGAAGAAGCGCCGGCUAACUACGUGCCAGCAGCCGCGGUAAUACGUAGGGCGCAAGCGUUAUCCGGAAUUAUUGGGCGUAAAGAGCUCGUAGGCGGUUUGUCGCGUCUGCCGCGAAAGUCCGGGGCUCAACUCCGGAUCUGCGGUGGGUACGGGCAGACUAGAGUGAUGUAGGGGAGACUGGAAUUCCUGGUGUAGCGGUGAAAUGCGCAGAUAUCAGGAGGAACACCGAUGGCGAAGGCAGGUCUCUGGGCAUUAACUGACGCUGAGGAGCGAAAGCAUGGGGAGCGAACAGGAUUAGAUACCCUGGUAGUCCAUGCCGUAAACGUUGGGCACUAGGUGUGGGGGACAUUCCACGUUUUCCGCGCCGUAGCUAACGCAUUAAGUGCCCCGCCUGGGGAGUACGGCCGCAAGGCUAAAACUCAAAGGAAUUGACGGGGGCCCGCACAAGCGGCGGAGCAUGCGGAUUAAUUCGAUGCAACGCGAAGAACCUUACCAAGGCUUGACAUGGACCGGAAACACCUGGAAACAGGUGCCCCGCUUGCGGCCGGUUCACAGGUGGUGCAUGGUUGUCGUCAGCUCGUGUCGUGAGAUGUUGGGUUAAGUCCCGCAACGAGCGCAACCCUCGUUCCAUGUUGCCAGCGCGUAAUGGCGGGGACUCAUGGGAGACUGCCGGGGUCAACUCGGAGGAAGGUGGGGACGACGUCAAAUCAUCAUGCCCCUUAUGUCUUGGGCUUCACGCAUGCUACAAUGGCCGGUACAAAGGGUUGCGAUACUGUGAGGUGGAGCUAAUCCCAAAAAGCCGGUCUCAGUUCGGAUUGGGGUCUGCAACUCGACCCCAUGAAGUCGGAGUCGCUAGUAAUCGCAGAUCAGCAACGCUGCGGUGAAUACGUUCCCGGGCCUUGUACACACCGCC